UGAGUAACACGUGGGCAACCUGCCUGUAAGACUGGGAUAACUUCGGGAAACCGAAGCUAAUACCGGAUAGGAUCUUCUCCUUCAUGGGAGAUGAUUGAAAGAUGGUUUCGGCUAUCACUUACAGAUGGGCCCGCGGUGCAUUAGCUAGUUGGUGAGGUAACGGCUCACCAAGGCAACGAUGCAUAGCCGACCUGAGAGGGUGAUCGGCCACACUGGGACUGAGACACGGCCCAGACUCCUACGGGAGGCAGCAGUAGGGAAUCUUCCGCAAUGGACGAAAGUCUGACGGAGCAACGCCGCGUGAGUGAUGAAGGCUUUCGGGUCGUAAAACUCUGUUGUUAGGGAAGAACAAGUACAAGAGUAACUGCUNGUACCUUGACGGUACCUAACCAGAAAGCCACGGCUAACUACGUGCCAGCAGCCGCGGUAAUACGUAGGUGGCAAGCGUUAUCCGGAAUUAUUGGGCGUAAAGCGCGCGCAGGCGGUUUCUUAAGUCUGAUGUGAAAGCCCACGGCUCAACCGUGGAGGGUCAUUGGAAACUGGGGAACUUGAGUGCAGAA
This 560-nucleotide ribosomal RNA is filed under the name uncultured bacterium. Its description in RNAcentral is "bacterial SSU rRNA". It matches the Rfam family "Bacterial small subunit ribosomal RNA", at positions 107 to 653 of the family's 1533-position model. The record is from RNAcentral.